UAUGUUAGAAACAGUUGCAACUGGUGAAAUGUGUUGAAUUACUUCUCCACUGUGCAGCAGAAACAAUAUUUUUCGUCCAGGCUGGGUAGAAGACUAUUUAGGAACCUGAAAAUGUCCUCAAAGCAUGGCUCCUGCAGGGAUUCACCAUCAGAGCAGCUCAGGAGCAUUUACAAAAUAUUUCAAAACGAGGAAUGAACAGUGUCUGCUCACAGCCACAUGGAGCGGCCUCAGCCUCCUCCCACUGACAACACCUCCAGUGUGUCCACAGCCACAGACAGUUCAAGUGUCAUUAUCUGAGUCUGAUCACAGACGCUGCUCUCGUCUCUGCAGGACACG
Molecule: long non-coding RNA, 336 nt
Organism: Centropristis striata (black sea bass)
Lineage: Eukaryota; Metazoa; Chordata; Actinopteri; Perciformes; Serranidae
Exons: 3
Source: RefSeq, a predicted model, not a curated record